GCACGUAGUUAGCCGUGGCUUACGCAAGGUACCGUCGUACCGCGGGAUUAUUCAGCCCACGGCUCUCUUCCCUUGCUUGUGAGGUUUACAUCCCGAAGGAUUUCCUCCCUCACGCGGCGUUGCUGGGUCAGGCUUGCGCCCAUUGCCCAAAAUUCCCCACUGCUGCCUCCCGUAGGAGUCUGGCCCGUGUGUCAGUGCCAGUGUGGCUGGCCGUCCUCUCAGACCAGCUACAGAUCGCAGCCUUGGUGAGCCAUUACCUCACCAACUAGCUAAUCUGCCGCAGGCUCCUCUUCAGGCGCGAGGUCUUGCGAUCCCCCGCUUUAACAACUAAUCACCAUUAGGUGCCGCUGCAUUAUGCGGUAUUAGCCCAAGUUUCCCUGGGUUAUUCCCCACCCGAAGGCAGAUUACCCACGUGUUACUCACCCGGACGCCACUCUACUUACCCCCGAAGGGGCUUUCGCGUUCGACUUGCAUGUGUUAGGCACGCCGCCAGCGUUGAUU
RNAcentral lists this ribosomal RNA (501 nucleotides) under uncultured bacterium. Its description in RNAcentral is "partial 16S rRNA". The record is from RNAcentral.